AGCUGCAGUAUGGGGAGGGGAGCAAAGCACUGACACGCAAAGGGAAGCGCAGCUGCUUGAAACUCGCUGUUUAUGAAGCAGAACUUUCCCUGCAAAACAGCAGCAGAUUUGCUCCCUUUAUGCUCCUGGCAGAGCUGGAUGGGGAAAUGGGGUCAUAUAGGAACAGCCCCAUCCUGAAGCCGAGCUCUGAGCGCAGCAGAUACGAGGAGCAAAGGGAGAGAUGGCGAAACCCAAAGCAACGUGGGGUGCUCAGCUCAUUGCUGAGCUGCUCUGGCUUUGCUGGGGUGCAAUAAGACAAGCAGGCGCUGUGGCUGCAGGGCUGCAGUGCUACCCGUGCUGCGUGCUGCCCUGUAUUGCCUGCUGCUGCCACAGUGCUACUCAUGCAGCUGUGUUGCUGUGUUGCAGUGCAGCUGUGCUGCUCAUGCUGCUCUGCUACUAGUGCUGCUGUAUUGCAGUGCUGCAGGUGCUGCCAGUGCAGCAGUGCAUCUUGUGCUGCUGUGAUGCAGUGCUGCUGUACUGCUUUGCUGGUGUACUGCAGUGCUACAGUGCUGCUCGUGCCCUGUGCUACGCGUGCUGCAGUGCUGCUCUACUGCAGCGCUGCUGUGCUGCUCGUGCAGCUGUGUUGCUGUGUUGCUCUGCUGCAGCGCUGCUCAUGCUGCUGUGCUNNNNNNNNNNNNNNNNNNNNNNNNNCUGCAGCCCCGUGCGAUGCAUGUUGGGUUCAUCUUGCAGCCUGCAGCUCCAUGCGAUGCAUGUUGGGUUCAUCUUGCAGCACCAGCUGCAGCCCCAUGCGAUGCAUGUUAGGUUCAUCUUGCAGCCUGCAGCUCUGUGCAAUGCAGCCCGGCCUCCUCCCAGCUGGGAGCUGCUGCUGCUGCUGCUGCUGGUGGGGGAUGCAUGUGCAGCACAGCAGGACGGGCUGCACCUCCUGCUCCUGCUGCUCCUGCUGCUCCUGCUGCACAGCUGCGUCCCACUGCGGCUUCCUGCCCUGCACACACACACACACACACACACACACACACACACACGUGAUGGAGCAGCAGCAGGGGCAGGAAGGCGGCGGUUCCUAUUUCCUCACAUUGUAGGCGAGUUUUUUUUGCUGCUUUGUUGUUAUUUUGGUUUAAUUUCUUUCCUUUCUGAGCCUCGCGAGGCCGACGCGACGCGAUGGAGCAACAGAGCAAACAACGCAGUCAGAACAUCCCAAUGCGUGGGGGUGCAGAGCAAAGGGAGCAGAGCAAACAAUGCAAAGUCAUUGCAACACAUGGGGGUGCAGAGCAAAAGGAGCAGAGCAAACAGCUCCAAGAACAGAGCAAAUAAUGCANNCAAACUCAUCCCAACACAUGGGGGUGCAGAGCAAACGGAGCAGAGCAAACAACGCAAAGUCAUUGCAACACAUGGGGGUGCAGAGCAAAAGGAACAGAGCAAACAACGCAAACUCAUCCCAACACAUGGGAAUGCAGAAGGAACAGAGCAAACAACUCCAAGAACAGAGCAAACAAUGCAAUCAAACUCAGUGCAACACAUGGGAGUGCAGAGCAAAAGGAGCAGACACAAUGCAAUUAAACUCAUCCCAACAAAUAGGGGUGCAGAGCAAAGGAAGCAGCCCUUGCAGCUCCAAGAACAGAGCAAACAAUGCAAACAAACUCAUCCCAACAACAAAUGGGAGUGCAGAGCAAAAGGAGCAGCCCUUGCAACUCCAAGAACAGAGCAAAUAAUGCAGUCAAACUCAUUGCAACAACAAAUGGGAGUGCAGAGCAAAAGGAACAGCCCUUGCAACCCCAAGAACAGAGCAAACAAUGCAGUUGAAACUCAUCCCAAAAGCAAAUGGGAAUGAAGAGCAAAGGGAGCAGAGCAAACAACUCCGAGAACAGAACAAACAAUGCAAUCAAACUCAUCCCAACAAAUGGGAGUGCAGAAGGAACAGAUGCAAAUGGGAAUGCAAAAGGAACAGCCUUUGCAACUCUGUGCCUUUGCAACUCCAAGAACAGAGCAAACAAUGCAAACAAACUCAUCCCAACAAAUAAUGGGAAUGCAGAGCAAAACAAACAGCCCUUGCAACUCCAUGUUCCAGCACCCAGGCCCAGCUCUGCACCUCCAAGCAAAGCAACCCCCAAUGCAUCACGUUGCACCUCCCAGCAAAGCAACCCCCAAUGAAUCAUCUUGCACCUCCAAGCAAAGCAAAGCAACCCCCAAUGCAUCACCUUGCACCUCCCAGCAGAGCAGCAAGGCUCCGCUCUGCACCUCCAAGCAAAGCAACCCCCAAUGCAUCACGUUGCACCUCCCAGCAGAGCAGCAAUGCUCCCCAAUGCACCUCCCAGCACUGCAGCCCCCAAUGCAUCACGUUGCACCUCNCCCCAAUGCAUCACGUUGCACCUCCCAGCAGAGCAGCAAUGCUCCCCAAUGCACCUCCCAGCACUGCAGCCCCCAAUGCAUCACGUUGCACCUCCCAGCUCUGCAGCCCCCAAUGCAUCACGUUGCACCUCCCAGCACUGCAGCCCCCAAUGCAUCCCCUGCAUCAGCUGCACUGAGGCUGCACCCAGCCCCAGACGUGAGCAUCACCUUGCACCUGCAAGCAGAGCAGCCCCCAAUGCAUCACGUUGCACCUGCAAGCAGAGCAGCAAUGCUCCCCAAUGCACCUCCCAGCAAAGCAACCCCCAAUGCAUCACGUUGCACCCCCCAGCACUGCAGCCCCCAAUGCAUCACGUUGCAGCUCCCAGCACUGCAGCCCCCCAUGCAUCAUCCCCUGCAUCAGCUGCACUGAGGCUGCACCCAGUCCCAGAUGUGAGCAUCACCUUGCACCUGCAA
Molecule: long non-coding RNA, 2799 nt
Filed under: Coturnix japonica (Japanese quail)
Lineage: Eukaryota; Metazoa; Chordata; Aves; Galliformes; Phasianidae
Description: lncRNA (ENSCJPG00005002324.1)
Source: RNAcentral